GUCCGAGAGGCUGUUCAAGAAUCCCUUGGUUUUAGUCCCUUUGAGUUGGUAUUUGGCCAUACUGUAAGGGGACCGUUAAAAUUGAUUAAGGAAAAGUGGCUUACUGAACAUACUGACUUGAAUCUUUUAGACUAUGUAUCUAGAUUUAAAGAAAAAUUGUACACUGCUUGUCAAAUUGCUCAGAAAAACUUAAAAAAUGUACAGAACAAGAUGAAAAUAUGGUAUGAUAAAGAUGCCAGGGACAGAGUUUUUGAGCCUGGUGAUAGGGUACUUGUAUUUUUGCCAGUCCCUGGACAUCCUUUACAGGCUAAAUAUUGUGGUCCUUAUACAAUAGAGAGUAAAAUCAAUGAUUUGAAUUAUAUUGUAAAAACUCCAGGUCGGCG
This 383-nucleotide long non-coding RNA is filed under the name Mytilus galloprovincialis (Mediterranean mussel). The record is from RNAcentral. Lineage: Eukaryota; Metazoa; Mollusca; Bivalvia; Mytilida; Mytilidae.